GUCAGGAUGGCUGAGUGGUCUAAGGUGCUGCGUUCAGGUUGUGGUCUCUGCUGGAGGUGUGGGUUCAAAUCCCACUUCUGACA
This 83-nucleotide transfer RNA is filed under the name Danio rerio (zebrafish). It matches the Rfam family "tRNA". From Rfam's summary of the family: Transfer RNA (tRNA) molecules are approximately 80 nucleotides in length. Their secondary structure includes four short double-helical elements and three loops (D, anti-codon, and T loops). Further hydrogen bonds mediate the characteristic L-shaped molecular structure. tRNAs have two regions of fundamental functional importance: the anti-codon, which is responsible for specific mRNA codon recognition, and the 3' end, to which the tRNAs corresponding amino acid is attached (by aminoacyl-tRNA synthetases). tRNAs cope with the degeneracy of the genetic code in two manners: having more than one tRNA (with a specific anti-codon) for a particular amino acid; and 'wobble' base-pairing, i.e. permitting non-standard base-pairing at the 3rd anti-codon position. Lineage: Eukaryota; Metazoa; Chordata; Actinopteri; Cypriniformes; Danionidae. The record is from Rfam by way of RNAcentral.